RNAcentral lists this ribosomal RNA (417 nucleotides) under uncultured bacterium. RNAcentral describes it as "bacterial SSU rRNA". It matches the Rfam family "Bacterial small subunit ribosomal RNA", at positions 92 to 507 of the family's 1533-position model. The record is from RNAcentral.
CGAGUGGCGAACGGGUGAGUAAUGCAUCGGAACGUGCCAUUGAGUGGGGAUAACGUAGCGAAAGUUACGCUAAUACCGCAUAUUCUGUGAGCAGGAAGCAGGGGACCGCAAGGCCUUGCGCUCUUUGAGCGGCCGAUGUCAGAUUAGCUAGUUGGUGAGGUAAAGGCUUACCAAGGCGACGAUCUGUAGCGGGUCUGAGAGGAUGAUCCGCCACACUGGAACUGAGACACGGUCCAGACUCCUACGGGAGGCAGCAGUGGGGAAUUUUGGACAAUGGGCGCAAGCCUGAUCCAGCCAUGCCGCGUGAGUGAAGAAGGCCUUCGGGUUGUAAAGCUCUUUCGGCCGGGAAGAAAUCGUAUGGGUUAAUACCCUGUGUGGAUGACGGUACCGGAAUAAGAAGCACCGGCUAACUACGUG